Molecule: ribosomal RNA, 279 nt
Filed under: uncultured bacterium
Lineage: Bacteria
Description: partial 16S ribosomal RNA
Rfam family: Bacterial small subunit ribosomal RNA
Source: RNAcentral
UGCCAGCCGCCGCGGUAAAACGGAGGGGGCUAGCGUUGUUCGGAUUUACUGGGCGUAAAGGGCGCGUAGGCGGCCAUGUGUGUCAGGGGUGAAAUCCCGGGGCUUAACCCCGGAAUUGCUCUUGAAACUGCAUGGCUUGAGUAUUGGAGAGGCAAGUGGAAUUCCGAGUGUAGCAGUGAAAUGCGUAGAUAUUCGGAGGAACAUCGGUGGCGAAGGCGACUUGCUGGCCAAUUAUUGACGCUGAGGUGCGAAAGCGUGGGGAGCAAACAGGAUUAGAUA